Molecule: ribosomal RNA, 714 nt
Filed under: uncultured bacterium
Lineage: Bacteria
Description: bacterial SSU rRNA
Rfam family: Bacterial small subunit ribosomal RNA
Source: RNAcentral
ACACAUGCAAGUCGAACGGUAACAGGUCUUCGGAUGCUGACGAGUGGCGAACGGGUGAGUAAUACAUCGGAACGUGCCUAGUAGUGGGGGAUAACUACUCGAAAGAGUAGCUAAUACCGCAUGAGAUCUACGGAUGAAAGCAGGGGACCUUCGGGCCUUGUGCUACUAGAGCGGCUGAUGGCAGAUUAGGUAGUUGGUGGGGUAAAGGCUUACCAAGCCUGCGAUCUGUAGCUGGUCUGAGAGGACGACCAGCCACACUGGGACUGAGACACGGCCCAGACUCCUACGGGAGGCAGCAGUGGGGAAUUUUGGACAAUGGGCGAAAGCCUGAUCCAGCAAUGCCGCGUGCAGGAUGAAGGCCCUCGGGUUGUAAACUGCUUUUGUACGGAACGAAAAGCCUGGGGCUAAUAUCCCCGGGUCAUGACGGUACCGUAAGAAUAAGCACCGGCUAACUACGUGCCAGCAGCCGCGGUAAUACGUAGGGUGCAAGCGUUAAUCGGAAUUACUGGGCGUAAAGCGUGCGCAGGCGGUUUUGUAAGACAGUGGUGAAAUCCCCGGGCUCAACCUGGGAACUGCCAUUGUGACUGCAAGGCUAGAGUGCGGCAGAGGGGGAUGGAAUUCCGCGUGUAGCAGUGAAAUGCGUAGAUAUGCGGAGGAACACCGAUGGCGAAGGCAAUCCCCUGGGCCUGCACUGACGCUCAUGCACGAAAGCGU